RNAcentral lists this ribosomal RNA (468 nucleotides) under uncultured bacterium. Its description in RNAcentral is "partial 16S ribosomal RNA". It matches the Rfam family "Bacterial small subunit ribosomal RNA", at positions 28 to 507 of the family's 1533-position model. The record is from RNAcentral.
GACGAACGCUGGCGGCGCGCUUAACACAUGCAAGUCGAACGGAAAGGCCCUGCUUUUGUGGGGUGCUCGAGUGGCGAACGGGUGAGUAACACGUGAGUAACCUGCCCUUGACUUUGGGAUAACUUCAGGAAACUGGGGCUAAUACCGGAUAGGAGCUCCUGCUGCAUGGUGGGGGUUGGAAAGUUUCGGCGGUUGGGGAUGGACUCGCGGCUUAUCAGCUUGUUGGUGGGGUAGUGGCUCACCAAGGCUUUGACGGGUAGCCGGCCCGAGAGGGUGACCGGCCACAUUGGGACUGAGAUACGGCCCCGACUCCUACGGGAGGCAGCAGUGGGGAAUAUUGCACAAUGGGCGGAAGCCUGAUGCAGCAACGCCGCGUGCGGGAUGACGGCCUUCGGGUUGUAAACCGCUUUCGCCUGUGACGAAGCGUGAGUGACGGUAAUGGGUAAAGAAGCACCGGCUAACUACGUG